GUCGAACGCUGGCGGCGUGCUUAACACAUGCAAGUCGAACGGAAAGGCCCUGCUUUUGUGGGGUGCUAGCGUGGCGAACGGGUGUGUUACACGUGAGUCACCUGCCCUUGACUUUGGGAUAACUUCAGGAAACUGCGGCUACUACCGGCUAGGAGCUCCUGCUGCAUGGUGGGGUUUGGACAGUUUCGGCGGAUGGGGAUGGACUCGCGGCUUAUCAGCUUGUUGGUGGGGUAGUGGCUUACCAAGGCUUUGACGGGUAGCCGGCCUGAGAGGGGGACCGGCGACAUUGGGACUGAGAUACGGCCCAGACUGCUACGGGAGGCAGCAGUGGGGAAUAUUGUACAAUGGGCGGAAGCCUGAUGCGGCAACGCUGCGAGCGGGAUGACGGCCUUCGUGUUGUGAACCGCAGUCGCCUGUGACGAAGCGGUAGUGACGUUAAUAGGUAAAGAAGCACCGGCUAACUACGUG
RNAcentral lists this ribosomal RNA (468 nucleotides) under uncultured bacterium. RNAcentral describes it as "partial 16S ribosomal RNA". It matches the Rfam family "Bacterial small subunit ribosomal RNA", at positions 28 to 507 of the family's 1533-position model. The record is from RNAcentral.